Molecule: ribosomal RNA, 396 nt
Filed under: Acanthamoeba sp. AR14
Lineage: Eukaryota; Discosea; Longamoebia; Acanthamoebidae
Description: SSU rRNA
Rfam family: Eukaryotic small subunit ribosomal RNA
Source: RNAcentral
ACCGUGAAAAAAUUAGAGUGUUCAAAGCAGGCAGAUCCAAUUUUCUGCCACCGAAUACAUUAGCAUGGGAUAAUGGAAUAGGACCCUGUCCUCCUAUUUUCAGUUGGUUUUGGCAGCGCGAGGACUAGGGUAAUGAUUAAUAGGGAUAGUUGGGGGCAUUAAUAUUUAAUUGUCAGAGGUGAAAUUCUUGGAUUUAUGAAAGAUUAACUUCUGCGAAAGCAUCUGCCAAGGAUGUUUUCAUUAAUCAAGAACGAAAGUUAGGGGAUCGAAGACGAUCAGAUACCGUCGUAGUCUUAACCAUAAACGAUGCCGACCAGCGAUUAGGAGACGUUGAAUACAAAACACCACCAUCGGUGCGGUCGUCCUUGGCGUCGGUUUUCGGCCGGCGCGGGGGCG